GAUGAACGCUGGCGGCGUGCCUAAUACAUGCAAGUCGAGCGAAUGGAUUAAGAGCUUGCUCUUAUGAAGUUAGCGGCGGACGGGUGAGUAACACGUGGGUAACCUGCCCAUAAGACUGGGAUAACUCCGGGAAACCGGGGCUAAUACCGGAUAACAUUUUGAACCGCAUGGUUCGAAAUUGAAGGGCGGCUUCGGCUGUCACUUAUGGAUGGACCCGCGUCGCAUUAGCUAGUUGGUGAGGUAACGGGACACCAAGGCAACGAUGCGUAGCCGGCCUGAGAGGGUGAUCGGACACACUGGGACUGAGAAACGGCCCAGACUCCUACGGGAGGCAGCAGUAGGGAAUCUGCCGCAAUGGACGAAAGUCUGACGGAGCAACGCCGCGUGAGUGAUGAAGGCUUUCGGGUCGUAAAACUCUGUUGUUAGGGAAGAACAAGUGCUAGUUGAAUAAGCUGGCACCUUGACGGUACCUAACCAGAAAGCCACGGCUAACUACGUGCCAGCCGCCGCGGUAA
This 515-nucleotide ribosomal RNA is filed under the name uncultured bacterium. RNAcentral's name for it is "partial 16S ribosomal RNA". It matches the Rfam family "Bacterial small subunit ribosomal RNA", at positions 28 to 523 of the family's 1533-position model. The record is from RNAcentral.